This 448-nucleotide ribosomal RNA is filed under the name uncultured bacterium. Its description in RNAcentral is "partial 16S ribosomal RNA". It matches the Rfam family "Bacterial small subunit ribosomal RNA", at positions 339 to 795 of the family's 1533-position model. The record is from RNAcentral.
CUACGGGUUGCACCAGUAGGGAAUAUUGCGCAAUGGGCGAAAGCCUGACGCAGCGACGCCGCGUGGACGACGAAGGCCUUCGGGUUGUAAAGUCCUGUCAGAGGGGAAGAAGGUGCUUGCACUGACGGUACCCUCAGAGGAAGCCCCGGCCAACUACGUGCCAGCAGCCGCGGUAAGACGUAGGGGGCGAGCGUUGUCCGGAUUCAUUGGGCGUAAAGAGCACGUAGGCGGCUCGUCAAGUCGGGUGUGAAAACCCGCGGCUCAACCGCGGGACUGCAUCCGAAACUGGCGGGCUUGAGUCCAGUAGAGGGAAGUGGAAUUCCCGGUGUAGCGGUGAAAUGCGCAGAUAUCGGGAAGAACACCGGUGGCGAAGGCGGCUUCCUGGGCUGAGACUGACGCUGAGGUGCGAAAGCUAGGGGAGCAAACAGGAUUAGAUACCCGCGUAGUC